UACGAAGGGGGCUAGCGUUGUUCGGAUUUACUGGGCGUAAAGCGCACGUAGGCGGUUUGUUAAGUCAGGGGUGAAAUCCCGGAGCUCAACUCCGGAACUGCCUUUGAUACUGGCAAGCUAGAGUCCGGAAGAGGUAAGUGGAACUCCUAGUGUAGAGGUGGAAUUCGUAGAUAUUAGGAAGAACACCAGUGGCGAAGGCGGCUUGCUGGUCCGGAACUGACGCUGAGGUGCGAAAGCGUGGGGAGCAAACAGG
Molecule: ribosomal RNA, 253 nt
Filed under: uncultured bacterium
Lineage: Bacteria
Description: partial 16S ribosomal RNA
Rfam family: Bacterial small subunit ribosomal RNA
Source: RNAcentral